UUACAUUCAACCAAACACAGCCUAAUUCCCGAAUCAACUUACUCUUCUCUAGUUCUUCUCUCUCUCUCAGCUCUCUCUCUCACACCCACACUCCAUCCCAUCUGCAACUACAAGCUUCCAUUUCCUCACCGCAUCGCUUUCCCUAACCUCCAGUUCCGACCACCACAAACCCCGACAGCCACUGCCCAGUGUCUUCGCUAGCACAACACUGCUGAACAUCGUCAGUUUCGGCAAGAUCGGCCUUUGUCUCGUCAGAAAACCCCCAAACUCUUCUCUUUCUAGCAUCACCACCAAACACCGAAAGCUUUCUUGCUGCUUUCAACACCCGAUGUCACAAUAAGAUAAAUGCUUUGCAGAUACGUUAGUUAAAAUCUUGGUCUUGAACAACUUCAUUUUGUGUGUGAAGGUUGUUGAGUGCAGUAUAUGUGGUUUCCCUAAUCUCGUACUUCGUUUUGCCUUCGUUGAGUUUUGAAGGUGCAAAGGCUACUUUUAGUCUACGGGAUGAUGCUUGGAUUCUACCUUGUGAAGGUUCUGCCUUCUAACAUGGACCCUACUACAAGAUUCUGAAGUAUGAUGGAUAGCAUUUUUGGACAAUAUUUUUUACUGCAAUUGGCACAGCUGGGGGACAACAUUUUGGACUAAUAUUUUUGGAUAACAUAUUUGACUUGGACAACUUUUUAGAUAGCAUAGCUGAAAAUUUAGACAGUUGAUUACUCAACUUGUAGCAAUUGUUUUGGAAAAUUGUUGUAACUACUGAAGUUACUUGAACAUGAUGGAUUCUUUGUAUUAGUAGCUUCUACUUAAAUACUACUUAUUUAUGCAAAUGAUGAAUGUUUUAAAUGCAAA
This is a long non-coding RNA of Quercus robur (English oak), 846 nucleotides long. RefSeq lists it as uncharacterized. The transcript is spliced from 4 exons. Lineage: Eukaryota; Viridiplantae; Streptophyta; Magnoliopsida; Fagales; Fagaceae. The record is from RefSeq and is a predicted model, not a curated record.